AGACUACGACGUUGAUAGGUUGGGUGUGUAAGCGCUGUGAGGCGUUGAGCUAACCAAUACUAAUUGCCCGUGAGGCUUGACCAUAUAACACCCAAGCAAUU
RNAcentral lists this ribosomal RNA (101 nucleotides) under Pseudomonas amygdali pv. myricae. RNAcentral describes it as "partial 23S ribosomal RNA". The stretch from base 1 to 84 matches the Rfam family "Bacterial large subunit ribosomal RNA", at positions 2842 to 2925 of the family's 2925-position model. The record is from RNAcentral. Lineage: Bacteria; Pseudomonadati; Pseudomonadota; Gammaproteobacteria; Pseudomonadales; Pseudomonadaceae.